UCAUCAGGUAGGAUAAUUCUUACCUGUUCUUUUUGGAAGGCAAAAUAGAACAUGACGAUUGGAGCUUGCAUGACUUGUGAUUAACGUCUCUGCAUAGUCAGGACUUGCAAAACAAGUUUCUUAAUGAUCAUCUAAC
Small nucleolar RNA from Physeter macrocephalus (sperm whale), 136 nucleotides. Its record names the gene U8. It matches the Rfam family "U8 small nucleolar RNA". From Rfam's summary of the family: U8 is a member of the C/D class of snoRNA which contain the C (UGAUGA) and D (CUGA) box motifs. NCBI's taxonomy places the organism in Eukaryota, Metazoa, Chordata, Mammalia, Artiodactyla, Physeteridae. The record is from Ensembl.